This 573-nucleotide ribosomal RNA is filed under the name uncultured archaeon. Its description in RNAcentral is "bacterial SSU rRNA". It matches the Rfam family "Archaeal small subunit ribosomal RNA", at positions 323 to 895 of the family's 1478-position model. The record is from RNAcentral.
UUACGGGGUGCAGCAGGCGCGAAACCUUUACAAUGCACGAAAGUGUGAUAGGGGGAUACUCAGUGCUUACGCUUAUGGUGUAGGCUUUUGUCGAUCGUAAAUAGAUCGGCGAAUAAGUGGUGGGUAAGACUGGUGCCAGCCGCCGCGGUAACCCCAGCGCCACAAGUGGUUAUCACGAUUAUUGGGCCUAAAGCGUUCGUAGCUGGUUUGGUAAAUCUCUUGUGAAAUUGUUCGGCUUAACCGGACAGCGUGCAGGAGAGACUGCCAGACUCGAGACCGGGAGGGGUUAGAAGUAUGUCGUGGGGACUGGUAAAAUGGGAUAAUCCACGAUAGACUACCGAUGGCGAAGGCAUCUAACCAGAACGGAUCUGACAGUGAGGAACGAAAGCCAGGGGAACGAACCGGAUUAGAUACCCGAGUAGUCCUAGCCGUAAACAAUGCCUGCUAGGUGUGGCUCCCACUACGAGUGGGUGCUGUGCCGUAGGGAAGCCGCUAAGCAGGCCGCCUGGGAAGUACGUCCGCAAGGAUGAAACUUAAAGGAAUUGGCGGGGGAGCACAAUCACUAGUGAAUUC